UUUUUUUUUUUUUUUUGUACCAUAUAGUUGUAUUUGUUUAAGUAGCCACACAUGCACUAACACUUCUACAAUUUUUUUUUUUUUUUUUUUUUUUUCCAUAUGAUAACUUGUAGACUUUCAACAAAGACCCUAAUAUGUGGCUGUGCGAAAACAAAAUCGAGGAAAUUUGUAAAAUUUACAACAUAAAUUACUCAAGCAAUUAUUUAAUCAAAUUUGAUAAAUAUUUUUUAAAAAAAAAACAAAAGCCAAUAAUAUAUUACAUAAGUAAAAAUAAGUUUAAGAUUAUAUCUGUAAACGAAUAUGUAAAAAACAUAAUUGAACAAAUUCAAAAAACUAAUAAAAUUAGUUUUGUUAAUACUUCUACUGGUAACAAUAGUAGUAGCAUUGUUAGUGGUAAAAAAAAACAUAACAUCAAUAAUGAUAAUGAUAUUAAUAUUGGCAAUUACAAACAACUGACUACUCUUCCUUAUUAUAUUUUUAUUUGUUCUAUUUUGAUAAAGGAAAAUGACAAAAAUUAUAAUUUAGACGGUGUGUUAAUUGACGAGUUACAAACUGGACUGAUGACUCAAACCGGUCGAGCUAUUACUAUAGCUGAAAAUACUGAUGCGCUGUCUAUGCACACAAUAUACCAAGAGUUUUUUAUUUCAUUUUUUACUUGUAAAAAAAAUAAAGCAUCAACAUUAAAAACUGAGGCGGAAAAGAUAAAAACGACUAACUCAUUAUGUUAUUAUUUUCACACUUCUGAAAAAGUAAUGAAAAAGUUAAUACAUCAAAAGGAGAUGAAAAAAAAUAUGUUUGUGAAUAAAAGGGACAAUACAAAUUUAAUGAAAACUAACUCCAAACAUGUUCUACUUCCUUUUAAUAUUUUUGAUUAUGAAUGUUUUAUCAAAAAAAUAUAUCAUAACGAUAUUACUACUGCUGAUACUUCUACCAAAACUGAACAGUUUUAUUUACACAUGGAUCGACUGAUGUUUGACCUAUCAAACAGUGAAUAUGAAAACUAUAUUUUUAGUGACAGAAUUAGUAAAAAAAAUAUAUUGCUUGAGAAAAAUAAAGAGCAUUUUUUAUUUAUGUAUAUCAAAAACCCUAUAAACAAUAAUUUAUCAAUCGAGUGGAAGCUUGAUGACAAUAAAACUGACACAAACACGAACAUACAAAAAUCAUUACCGUCAAUUAGUUUAACUUUAAUGACAUUAGAAGAUUAUAUGGAAAAAAAAAUGCAAAUGAAAAUUAGUUAUUUAAAUAAAAAUAUAUUAAUAAGUAAAGAGAAUAUAAACAAGGUAUUACUAAAAUUUAUUGUUAGUAUAUCUGCAAAAAAUAAUGACAAAGUAUCAUUUUUUUAUGUUAUUCAUAAGUUUAAUAAUUUAAAAUUGUUGUCAUAUUUAGAUAUAUAUAUUUGUAAAAUAAAUAAAUACGAAACUAAUUACUAUAACAAAAAUGCACAAAUGGAAAAGAAAAAAAAAAGUUAUAACAAAAAUUUGAAGAAUGCACAAGUGGAUUAUAAAUGUUUAAAAGAGAUUGGCCGUUUUAAUAGAUUUUCUUUGAAAAAUUUUAUUAUGAAAGUCAACUUGAGUUGGGAACAGCAAUCGGAGCAACUACAACAACUGCAACAAUUGCAACAGCAGAGUGAGACAUACGAAUGCGAUUAUUUAUUUUUAAUUGUGUCCAAAAAAAUGAAAGAAUUGUAUGAACAAAAUUUGAAGCUUGAAAUAAGUGCAAGUUUACCAAAUAGUCAUACCAAUAAUUUCGUUAAACAAAAAACGGACGAAACUGUAGUUACUACUUCUACUUCUACCAAUAACAACAAUAUUGUGAUAUAUGAAGUUCCAUCUUUUUGUAAAAAUUAUACCUUAACAUAUUACGACAAUAUAUUGUACGAUUAUAGUCAGAAUAAUAAAGAAAAACAGAACGCUAAUAAUAGCUCUUAUAACAGUAUAAACAAUGACAAUAUGAGUCAAAAAAAUAACAAAAAAGAAACAGAUGAUGAAAUUGAAAAUAAUUAUACUAAUCCAGCUAUUGGCACUAAUCCAGCUAUUGGCACUAAUGCAGCUAUUGGCACUAAUGCAGCUAUUGGCACUAAUGCAGCUAUUGGCACUAAUGCAGAUAUUGGCACUAAUGCAGAUAUUGGCACAAAUGCAGAU
Long non-coding RNA from Piliocolobus tephrosceles (Ugandan red Colobus), 2141 nucleotides. NCBI's taxonomy places the organism in Eukaryota, Metazoa, Chordata, Mammalia, Primates, Cercopithecidae. The record is from Ensembl.